RNAcentral lists this ribosomal RNA (425 nucleotides) under uncultured bacterium. RNAcentral's name for it is "partial 16S ribosomal RNA". It matches the Rfam family "Bacterial small subunit ribosomal RNA", at positions 354 to 796 of the family's 1533-position model. The record is from RNAcentral.
GUGGGGAAUAUUGGGCAAUGGGCGAAAGCCUGACCCAGCAACGCCGCGUGAAGGAAGAAGGUUUUCGGAUCGUAAACUUCUAUCCUUGGUGAAGAUAAUGACGGUAGCCAAGAAGGAAGCCCCGGCUAACUACGUGCCAGCAGCCGCGGUAAUACGUAGGGGGCAAGCGUUGUCCGGAAUGAUUGGGCGUAAAGGGCGCGUAGGCGGCCCGGUAAGUCUGAAGUGAAAGUCCUGCUGUUAAGGUGGGAAUUGCUUUGGAUACUGUCGGGCUUGAGUGCAGGAGAGGUAAGCGGAAUUCCCGGUGUAGCGGUGAAAUGCGUAGAGAUCGGGAGGAACACCAGUGGCGAAGGCGGCUUACUGGACUGUAACUGACGCUGAGGCGCGAAAGUGUGGGGAGCAAACAGGAUUAGAAACCCUUGUAGUCC